CUUCAGCCCAGCCAUCACUCUGCCUUCAAGAUUUUCCUCUUUCAAUCAGAUUAUUUUCAGGGAAUUGAAUGUCAAAGCUUCUAUCAGAUCUGCAAUGGCGAAGACUACUGGGCACUUGACUACUUCCAGAAGGGUUUACGAGGUUGUUCCAAUGGUUGUCAUCACACCCAACAGGACUUCGGUGUCUCCUAGGUUGGAAACCAUUCUUGAAGAGGAUCAUAUUCACAAUCAUUUCUGUGAUUCGGGUUCACAGGUUAAUUGCAGUACUGCGCUUUGCCUAAGAGGAGCCCUUAGUACGUUGAAACUCAAUUAGUAUAUAUAGUUCCAUCAGAUUUUAAUUUUAGUUUGUUUUUGUUUUUGUUUUCCCAUUGAGGGCGAAGACGACUAUGUAAGAUCAUAUCCUUCCGUCAAAGGGAUUCGAUUCAUUUUGUACUAUAAUAUUUUCUGUUUAUGAAUUUUAUUAUUCCCAGACAUCAA
This is a long non-coding RNA of Ipomoea nil (Japanese morning glory), 477 nucleotides long. RefSeq lists it as uncharacterized. Lineage: Eukaryota; Viridiplantae; Streptophyta; Magnoliopsida; Solanales; Convolvulaceae. The record is from RefSeq and is a predicted model, not a curated record. The transcript is spliced from 2 exons.